Molecule: ribosomal RNA, 433 nt
Filed under: uncultured bacterium
Lineage: Bacteria
Description: partial 16S ribosomal RNA
Rfam family: Bacterial small subunit ribosomal RNA
Source: RNAcentral
AACGAACGCUGGCGGCAUGCCUAACACAUGCGAGUCGAACGAGACCUUCGGGUCUAGUGGCGCACGGGUGCGUAACGCGUGGGAACCUGCCCUUAGGUUCGGAAUAACUCCCCGAAAGGGGUGCUAACACCGGAUAAUGUCUUCGGACCAAAGAUUUAUCGCCUUUGGAUGGGCCCGCGUUGGAUUAGCUAGUUGGUAGGGUAAAAGCCUACCAAGGCGACGAUCCAUAGCUGGUCUGAGAGGAUGAUCAGCCACACUGGGACUGAGACACGGCCCAGACUCCUACGGGAGGCAGCAGUGGGGAAUAUUGGACAAUGGGCGAAAGCCUGAUCCAGCAAUGCCGCGUGAGUGAUGAAGGCCUUAGGGUUGUAAAGCUCUUUUACCCGGGAUGAUAAUGACAGUACCGGGAGAAUAAGCUCCGGCUAACUCCGUG